CCUACGGGAGGCAGCAGUAGGGAGUUUUCGGCAAUGGGGGAAACCCUGACCGAGCAACGCCGCGUGAACGAUGAAGGUCUUCGGAUCGUAAAGUUCUGUUAUAGUUAGGGAAAGCCUGGAAGAGUGGAAUGCUUUCAGUUUGACCCAGCUAUCAGAAAGCCUCGGCUAACUACGUGCCAGCAGCCGCGGUAAU
RNAcentral lists this ribosomal RNA (193 nucleotides) under uncultured bacterium. RNAcentral's name for it is "partial 16S ribosomal RNA". It matches the Rfam family "Bacterial small subunit ribosomal RNA", at positions 338 to 524 of the family's 1533-position model. The record is from RNAcentral.